AUUGAACGCUGGCGGCAUGCCUUACACAUGCAAGUCGAACGGCAGCACGGGAGCAAUCCUGGUGGCGAGUGGCGAACGGGUGAGUAAUAUAUCGGAACGUGCCCAGUCGUGGGGAUAACGUAGCGAAAGCUACGCUAAUACCGCAUACGAUCUAUGGAUGAAAGCGGGGGAUCGCAAGACCUCGCGCGAUUGGAGCGGCCGAUAUCAGAUUAGGUAGUUGGUGAGGUAAAGGCUCACCAAGCCGACGAUCUGUAGCUGGUCUGAGAGGACGACCAGCCACACUGGGACUGAGACACGGCCCAGACUCCUACGGGAGGCAGCAGUGGGGAAUUUUUGGGACAAUGGGCGCAAGCCUGAUCCAGCAAUGCCGCGUGCAGGAUGAAGGCCUCGGUUGUAACUGCUUUUGUACGGUACG
This 415-nucleotide ribosomal RNA is filed under the name uncultured bacterium. RNAcentral describes it as "bacterial SSU rRNA". It matches the Rfam family "Bacterial small subunit ribosomal RNA", at positions 30 to 447 of the family's 1533-position model. The record is from RNAcentral.